Molecule: ribosomal RNA, 172 nt
Filed under: uncultured bacterium
Lineage: Bacteria
Description: partial 16S ribosomal RNA
Rfam family: Bacterial small subunit ribosomal RNA
Source: RNAcentral
ACUCCUACGGAAGGCAGCAGUGGGGAAUCUUAGACAAUGGGCGCAAGCCUGAUCUAGCCAUGCCGCGUGAGCGAUGAAGGCCUUAGGGUUGUAAAGCUCUUUCGUGGGGGGAAGAUAAUGACUGUACCCCAAGAAGAAGCCCCGGCUAACUCCGUGCCAGCAGCCGCGGUAA